GCUGGGCGCGGUGGUGCGUGCCUGUAGUCCCAGCUACUCAGGAGGCUAAGGCUGGAGGACCGCUUGAGUCCAGGAGUUCUGGGCUGCAGUGCACUAUGCCAAUUGGGUGUCCGCACUAAGUUCGGCAUCAAUAUAUGGUCCCUCCUGGGAGCGGGGGCCCACCAGGUUGCCUAAGGAGGGGUAAACCAGCCCAGGUUGGAAACAGAGCAGGUCAAAACUCUCGUGCUGAUCAGCAGUGGGAUCACACCUGUGAAUAGCCACUGCACUCCAGCCUGGGUGACAUAGCGCGACCCUGUUUUU
This 300-nucleotide signal recognition particle RNA is filed under the name Aotus nancymaae (Ma's night monkey). Its description in RNAcentral is "Metazoan signal recognition particle RNA (ENSANAG00000005650.1)". It matches the Rfam family "Metazoan signal recognition particle RNA". Rfam says of the family: The signal recognition particle (SRP) is a universally conserved ribonucleoprotein. It is involved in the co-translational targeting of proteins to membranes. The record is from RNAcentral. Lineage: Eukaryota; Metazoa; Chordata; Mammalia; Primates; Aotidae.